RNAcentral lists this ribosomal RNA (496 nucleotides) under uncultured bacterium. RNAcentral's name for it is "bacterial SSU rRNA". It matches the Rfam family "Bacterial small subunit ribosomal RNA", at positions 30 to 522 of the family's 1533-position model. The record is from RNAcentral.
AUUGAACGCUGGCGGCAGGCCUAACACAUGCAAGUCGAGCGCGAAAGGCCUUCGGGCUGAGUAGAGCGGCGGACGGGUGAGUAACGCGUAGGAAUCUACCUGGUAGUGGGGGACAACUUGGGGAAACUCAAGCUAAUACCGCAUACGCCCUAUGGGGGAAAGUGGGGGACCUUCGGGCCUCACGCUAUCAGAUGAGCCUGCGUAGGAUUAGCUAGUUGGUGGGGUAAAGGCCCACCAAGGCGACGAUCCUUAGCUGGUCUGAGAGGAUGAUCAGCCACACUGGGACUGAGACACGGCCCAGACUCCUACGGGAGGCAGCAGUGGGGAAUAUUGCGCAAUGGGGGCAACCCUGACGCAGCCAUGCCGCGUGUGUGAAGAAGGCCUUCGGGUUGUAAAGCACUUUCACUUGGGAAGAAAAGCUCAUUGUUAAUAGCGGUGAGCCCUGACAUUACCUUGAGAAGAAGCACCGGCUAACUCCGUGCCAGCAGCCGCGGUA